RNAcentral lists this transfer RNA (73 nucleotides) under Micromonospora citrea. Its description in RNAcentral is "tRNA_Ser_GCT". It matches the Rfam family "tRNA". From Rfam's summary of the family: Transfer RNA (tRNA) molecules are approximately 80 nucleotides in length. The record is from RNAcentral. Lineage: Bacteria; Bacillati; Actinomycetota; Actinomycetes; Micromonosporales; Micromonosporaceae.
CGGGUCGUAGCGCAGCGGUCGUCGCGCCCGAUUGCUCAUCGGGAGGACGCCGGUUCGAUCCCGGCCGACCCGC